UACGAAGGGGGCUAGCGUUGUUCGGAAUUACUGGGCGUAAAGCGCACGUAGGCGGGUCUGUAAGUAGGGGGUGAAAUCCCCAGGCUCAACCUGGGAACUGCCUUCUAGACUGGCAGUCUCGAGAUCAGGAGAGGCGAGUGGAAUUCCGAGUGUAGAGGUGAAAUUCGUAGAUAUUCGGAGGAACACCAGUGGCGAAGGCGACUCGCUGGACUGAUACUGACGCUGAGGUACGAAAGCGUGGGGAGCAAACAGG
Molecule: ribosomal RNA, 253 nt
Filed under: uncultured bacterium
Lineage: Bacteria
Description: partial 16S ribosomal RNA
Rfam family: Bacterial small subunit ribosomal RNA
Source: RNAcentral